UACGGGGGGGGCAAGCGUUGUUCGGAAUUACUGGGCGUAAAGGGCUCGUAGGCGGCCAACUAAGUCAGACGUGAAAUCCCUCGGCUUAACCGGGGAACUGCGUCUGAUACUGGAUGGCUUGAGUUCGGGAGAGGGAUGUGGAAUUCCAGGUGUAGCGGUGAAAUGCGUAGAUAUCUGGAGGAACACCGGUGGCGAAGGCGGCAUCCUGGACCACGACUGACACUGAAAAGCGAAAGCCAGGGGAGCAAACGGG
This 253-nucleotide ribosomal RNA is filed under the name uncultured bacterium. RNAcentral describes it as "partial 16S ribosomal RNA". It matches the Rfam family "Bacterial small subunit ribosomal RNA", at positions 524 to 776 of the family's 1533-position model. The record is from RNAcentral.